Molecule: non-coding RNA, 228 nt
Organism: Pelobates cultripes (western spadefoot toad)
Lineage: Eukaryota; Metazoa; Chordata; Amphibia; Anura; Pelobatidae
Source: the annotation of a GenBank genome assembly
GGGUUUGCUACCCCCGGAAAAAUAAUAGGUGCAAGUUGGUUAUAAGGGAUACGCUUGCCUGCGGUCUGUCAUCUGUUCCUUUUUCUUUUCUCGAGUAAAGUCCUGCCUGUUGUUGGACCCGGUGCUUGGUCGUAGCUUGCUGUUAGAUUUCCAAAGUCCAAUUGCUUUGUUGUGGUGGGUCCUUCUGGGUGGCUCAAGAUACUGGGUCGUCAGUUUCUCCCACAUCGU